CCUACGGGUGGCAGCAGUGAGGAAUAUUGGUCAAUGGGCGCAAGCCUGAACCAGCCAAGUCGCGUGAAGGAUGACUGCCCUACGGGUUGUAAACUUCUUUUAUAAAGGAGUAAAGUGAGGCACGUGUGCCUUUUUGUGUGUACUUUAUGAAUAAGCAUCGGCUAACUCCGUGCCAGCAGCCGCGGUAAUACGGAGGAUGCGAGCGUUAUCCGGAUUUAUUGGGUUUAAAGGGAGCGUAGAGGGGUUGUUAAGUCAGUUGUGAAAGUUUGGGGCUUAACCUCAAAAGUGCUAUUGAUACUGGCAGCCUUGAGUACAGUUGAGGUAGGCGGAAUGCGUGGUGUAGCGGUGAAAUGCGUAGAUAUCACGAAGAACUCCGAUUGCGAAGGCAGCUUAC
This 394-nucleotide ribosomal RNA is filed under the name uncultured bacterium. RNAcentral's name for it is "partial 16S ribosomal RNA". It matches the Rfam family "Bacterial small subunit ribosomal RNA", at positions 338 to 729 of the family's 1533-position model. The record is from RNAcentral.